CAGAGGCCCGGUCCAAAUGAGUACAACCUGCAGAGUGGCUGUGGCAGGCCCACGCAAAUGCAGAGCAGCCCUACCCACACAACUUCCAACAGAUGGGGUGGGAUCAGAAAACAUAGCUCCUAUUCCCCCACCCCCUCCCAGUGGUGGCAGGUGGAAACUGUGACCUGAUACUACCACAAAUACGCUGGCAAAGGAUCAGUUCAUUAAACACCAUGAAAAACUACAAUAACACUUCAGAGCAGAAGGAAAAUGACAAGUCUCCAGAAACCAAUCCUGAAGUCACAGAAAUUUACAAUCUAAAUGACAGAGAAUUCAAAAUAGUUGUCAUAAAGAAACUCAAUACUUUACAAGAAAACUCAGAAAGACAUUUCAAUGAGCUCUGGAGUAAAAUUAAUGAGCAGAAGGAAUACUUCACCAAACAGAUUGAAAUCUAAAAAAAUCCCCAAAACUCUAGAUAUGAAGAACACAAUUAAUGAGAUAAAAAAUAAUCUAGAAACCAUAAAAAAUAGAGCUGAUGUUAUGGAGGGCAGAAAUAGUGAGGACAGAAAUAUAGAAAUGCUUCAAGUAGAGGAGGAGAGAGAACCAAGAUUUUUAAAAAAUGAAGAAAUUCUUUGAGAAAUAUUUGACUCAAUCAGGAAAAGCAAUAUAAGGAUUAUAGGUAUUCCAGAGGGAGAAGAGGGGAAGAAAGAAGCAGAGAGUUUGUUCAAAGAAAUAAUAGCUGAGAACUUCCCAAACCUGGGGAAGGAGCUGGAAUUACAAGUAAAUUAAGCAAAUAGAACUCCUAAUUACAUCAAUGCAAAAAGACCUUCUCUAAGGCAUAUAUUAGUAAAACUGGCAAAAGUCAAUGAUAAACAAAAAUAUUAAAGACAGCAAAGCAGAUGAAAAUAACCUACAAAGUAACCCCUAUCAGGCUUUCAGCAGAUUUCUCAGCAGAAACUUUACAGGUUAGGAGAAAAUGGAAUGAUAGAUUCAAAACACUGAAAGACAAAAACUUUCAGCCAAGAAUACUCUAUCCAGUGAAACUAUCCUUC
This 1031-nucleotide long non-coding RNA is filed under the name Equus caballus (horse). Its description in RNAcentral is "lncRNA (ENSECAG00000055299.1)". Lineage: Eukaryota; Metazoa; Chordata; Mammalia; Perissodactyla; Equidae. The record is from RNAcentral.